GACGAACGCUGGCGGCGUGCUUAACACAUGCAAGUCGAACGGAAAGGCCUCUUUCGGGGGGUACUCGAGUGGCGAACGGGUGAGUAACACGUGAGUAACCUGCCCUUUGCUUUGGGAUAACUUUAGGAAACUGGGGCUAAUACAGGAUAGGAGCUCCUGCUGCAUGGUGGGGGUUGGAAAGUUUCGGCGGUUGGGGAUGGACUCGCGGCUUAUCAGCUUGUUGGUGGGGUAGUGGCUUACCAAGGCUAUGACGGGUAGCCGGCCUGGGGGGGUGACCGGCCACAUUGGGACUGAGAAACGGCCCAGACCCCUACGGGGGGCAGCAGUGGGGAAUAUUGGAAAAGGGGUGGAGGCCGGAUGCAGGAAGGCGGGGGGGGGGAUGACGGCCUUCGGGUGGAAAGCCGUGUUCGCUCAUGACGAAGCGUUGUGUGACGGUAGUGGGUAAAGAAGCACCGGCUAACUACGUG
RNAcentral lists this ribosomal RNA (467 nucleotides) under uncultured bacterium. RNAcentral describes it as "partial 16S ribosomal RNA". It matches the Rfam family "Bacterial small subunit ribosomal RNA", at positions 28 to 507 of the family's 1533-position model. The record is from RNAcentral.